This 71-nucleotide transfer RNA is filed under the name Pithovirus LCPAC304. RNAcentral's name for it is "tRNA-Gly". It matches the Rfam family "tRNA". Rfam says of the family: Transfer RNA (tRNA) molecules are approximately 80 nucleotides in length. Lineage: Varidnaviria; Bamfordvirae; Nucleocytoviricota; Megaviricetes; Pimascovirales; Pithoviridae. The record is from RNAcentral.
UUCGCUGUGGUGUAGUGGCAACAUAUAUCCCUUCCAAGGAUGUGAUCUGGGUUCGAUUCCUGGCAGUGAAA